AGGACGAACGCUGGCGGCGUGCUUAACACAUGCAAGUCGAGCGGAAAGGCCCUUCGGGGUACUCGAGCGGCGAACGGGUGAGUAACGCGUGAGUAAUCUGCCCCUAGCUCUGGGAUAGCUCCGGGAAACCGGGAUUAAUACCGGAUAUGACCACUUUAGACAUCUGCUGUGGUGGAAAGAAUUUCGGCUAGGGAUGAGCUCGCGGCCUAUCAGCUUGUUGGUGGGGUAACGGCCUACCAAGGCGACGACGGGUAGCCGGCCUGAGAGGGCGACCGGCCACACUGGGACUGAGACACGGCCCAGACUCCUACGGGAGGCAGCAGUGGGGAAUAUUGCGCAAUGGGCGAAAGCCUGACGCAGCGACGCCGCGUGGGGGAUGAAGGCCUUCGGGUUGUAACCCCUUUCAGCAGGGACGAAGCGAAAGUGACGGUACCUGCAGAAGAAGCGCCGGCUAACUACGUGCCAGCAGCCGC
Molecule: ribosomal RNA, 473 nt
Filed under: uncultured bacterium
Lineage: Bacteria
Description: SSU rRNA
Rfam family: Bacterial small subunit ribosomal RNA
Source: RNAcentral